UGCUGGCGCAUGGUAACCAACCCUCUGGCCUCCCUUUUGACCACUGAGGCUUUCUGAGCUCUGAUGCAGCAUCUCUGCUAGUAAAAUAGUGUCAGGUCUCUCAUCUCUCCCCCUUCAAAAUAAGGUGGCUGUAUCCAAACUCCUUGCUAGGGCUUUGCGGGGCUCUCCCUUGUUUAGCUACUGGUAUUUAUUGCUGAAUCCUGUGGGUUAGCCCAAGGGGCUGGGAAGAAAAUGCAGCAGUGGCUUUGUUUGACAUUUACUGGGGGGUAUUCUACUGGUAGAGACGUGCUCUCCUCCCCAGUCCUCCCUGUCAGGCUUCCUCCACACCAUGCCGCUUCCUGCUCCUUGCAGCAGCUGAAGCCCUGCCUCAAUGGUAUUUUCAUCAAAUGCUGGAAAAAGGGUAUUUUCUGACGCAAGUUUACUCUAGUGAUGUCUCAAACAGCUGUGGUCUUCCUCCUGUGAGUGUCAAAUGCUGAAGGCCAAAUACGUAAGAGACAACUGGGGAAAACUCUGUGAUAAAAGUCAAGACCACUUAACCUGCAUUCGAAGCCCGUUUCUCAAGAAUCAUGCACCCAUUUUGAGAUGUUCUGCCCCUAAUUUUCUCAUUUCCAAGCCAUUCACCAUGAGCAGUAAUUCACAUAAACACGGAUGCCAUUGUGCCUUGGGUGUUGGGCGGGCACCAAGCUGAUCUCAGCUAAGUCCUGCAACACCUCGGCUCCUCUGCCCGUGGCAUUUUGUCAGGGUUUUCCUUUUUCCCACCAUGGGCUGCACUGAGCAGAGGGAUGCCCUCCUGUGAGGCCACCUGGUGUAAUCUGAUGGUCCUUCACCGCUUGCCACCAUAACCUGGGGAAGAACAGAGGCCUGAGAAACGAGGAGGCUGUGAACUUCUGUGUAUGAGGAGAUAUUUGCAAUGUAGGAAACGGGGACCCCGGUGACUCGGAUGCAGGGUCAAUCGCCUAAUUUGCCUCUUGGCCACAAUGCAAAUGGCACCAAGAGUUUGUUCACCCCAGCUUCCUCCACCCAGAGUUGCGCAUUCAACCAUCGGACACGAGGAGUCCUGCACGCUGCUUUUUGAUCAGCAACAGAUUUCCCACUUUCCAGACGAGCAGAAGUCAUCUGCGAGAUCCAGUCAAGUUCAACAAAUGAUUUCACAAGUAAAUAAAAGUUUGUCAGGGAGGAAAUCAGCAGAGAGGUUUUGAAAAGCACAUUUCACUUCGGAAAAGAAAUACAUUUUACUUUUUUUUUUUGCAGAAAUGUAGGGCUGGCCCUCAGAAGGUCAUCUAAUCCUCUUGGUGGACCUGUAUUUUUCUGGGAGACAACUUAACUGGUGCUUACAAGCUUUCACUGAUGGAAAUUCCCACUGCUCCCCAGUCUGUCCCAACCCUUCAAGAUCCAUAGCCUUAAAAUGGCUUCUUAAUGAUCGUCACUUUUUAAUGAUCGGCACGAACUUCCUUACUGAAUGACCUACAACUCCUUGUCCUGCCCAUGGUGAACACGAAGUUUAUCGAAGUUUAUUCCCUUCUUUUUUUUUUUUUUUUUUUUUUUUUUUGCAGGGGCACCAGCAAAUCAAGCAGUGCUACUUCUUGCAAAAAAUCCCCAUUGAUCACGCUGUCCGCACCUUUGCUCAACUGUGUCCUUCUUCUUUAGGCCUUUUGAAAUGGGGUUUGGGAGCUUGAAUAGGCAAACCCGCAAUGUUUUCCGAGUUAAAACUGCCUGACAUUAACAAAGGCAAAAUUACUCUGUAAAACCCCAGAAACAUUGUUCUCUCGCUCAGUUGCAACAUUUUCUUGGAAGCAAUUAUAAUUAUAAGCCUAUUUUUUAUUUCAACACAAGGAGCUGCUCUCUUUUGGGGUUAGGUUUAUUUUUAGAGGGGGGAGGUCUUUUUUUUUUUUUUUUUUGGCUGGACAGUGAAAUGAAUUCAAGCGGUUUUAGCCCUGAUGUGGAAGACAGAGAGACCUCUGAGAAGAACGGGGCUUGUUGAAUAUGAAAUGUUAGAGGCCUGGUUUAUGUUCCUGGUUUAUAAGUUGCACUUUAACAUUUAUUUUUAGACCAAAACCAUGACCUGUAUAUCCUGUUUCAUAUAGGGAUGUACUUUCUUUUGAGUUUCAUGGUGACAUCUGAUGGUGCAGCCAAUUCUUCCACAAGCAGUUGGACCCUGAGGCCGUAAUCUGUUGCCAAGACCCCUGAAAAGGGAGAAUUGCAUCCAAUUUUAUCCCCUCUGCUACCUCUAAUCUCUGCUGCUUGCAAUGCGGUACAGAUCUAACGAGAAAGCUGAAUUGCAGCACAUUAAAGGAAUCAGUGAGUGGAAACUUUGGGGUUGCCCAUGGCUCCAGCAGGAUUUAGCCCCGGGGCUCUUGCAAAAUUAUUGCCCAUGAUUGAACCCCGUGG
Oxyura jamaicensis (ruddy duck) is the source of this 2388-nucleotide long non-coding RNA. RefSeq lists it as uncharacterized. The transcript has 3 exons. NCBI's taxonomy places the organism in Eukaryota, Metazoa, Chordata, Aves, Anseriformes, Anatidae. The record is from RefSeq and is a predicted model, not a curated record.